RNAcentral lists this ribosomal RNA (1550 nucleotides) under Klebsiella quasivariicola. RNAcentral describes it as "bacterial SSU rRNA". It matches the Rfam family "Bacterial small subunit ribosomal RNA". The record is from RNAcentral. Lineage: Bacteria; Pseudomonadati; Pseudomonadota; Gammaproteobacteria; Enterobacterales; Enterobacteriaceae.
AAAUUGAAGAGUUUGAUCAUGGCUCAGAUUGAACGCUGGCGGCAGGCCUAACACAUGCAAGUCGAGCGGUAGCACAGAGAGCUUGCUCUCGGGUGACGAGCGGCGGACGGGUGAGUAAUGUCUGGGAAACUGCCUGAUGGAGGGGGAUAACUACUGGAAACGGUAGCUAAUACCGCAUAACGUCGUAAGACCAAAGUGGGGGACCUUCGGGCCUCAUGCCAUCAGAUGUGCCCAGAUGGGAUUAGCUAGUAGGUGGGGUAACGGCUCACCUAGGCGACGAUCCCUAGCUGGUCUGAGAGGAUGACCAGCCACACUGGAACUGAGACACGGUCCAGACUCCUACGGGAGGCAGCAGUGGGGAAUAUUGCACAAUGGGCGCAAGCCUGAUGCAGCCAUGCCGCGUGUGUGAAGAAGGCCUUCGGGUUGUAAAGCACUUUCAGCGGGGAGGAAGGCGGUGAGGUUAAUAACCUCAUCGAUUGACGUUACCCGCAGAAGAAGCACCGGCUAACUCCGUGCCAGCAGCCGCGGUAAUACGGAGGGUGCAAGCGUUAAUCGGAAUUACUGGGCGUAAAGCGCACGCAGGCGGUCUGUCAAGUCGGAUGUGAAAUCCCCGGGCUCAACCUGGGAACUGCAUUCGAAACUGGCAGGCUAGAGUCUUGUAGAGGGGGGUAGAAUUCCAGGUGUAGCGGUGAAAUGCGUAGAGAUCUGGAGGAAUACCGGUGGCGAAGGCGGCCCCCUGGACAAAGACUGACGCUCAGGUGCGAAAGCGUGGGGAGCAAACAGGAUUAGAUACCCUGGUAGUCCACGCCGUAAACGAUGUCGAUUUGGAGGUUGUGCCCUUGAGGCGUGGCUUCCGGAGCUAACGCGUUAAAUCGACCGCCUGGGGAGUACGGCCGCAAGGUUAAAACUCAAAUGAAUUGACGGGGGCCCGCACAAGCGGUGGAGCAUGUGGUUUAAUUCGAUGCAACGCGAAGAACCUUACCUGGUCUUGACAUCCACAGAACUUAGCAGAGAUGCUUUGGUGCCUUCGGGAACUGUGAGACAGGUGCUGCAUGGCUGUCGUCAGCUCGUGUUGUGAAAUGUUGGGUUAAGUCCCGCAACGAGCGCAACCCUUAUCCUUUGUUGCCAGCGGUUAGGCCGGGAACUCAAAGGAGACUGCCAGUGAUAAACUGGAGGAAGGUGGGGAUGACGUCAAGUCAUCAUGGCCCUUACGACCAGGGCUACACACGUGCUACAAUGGCAUAUACAAAGAGAAGCGACCUCGCGAGAGCAAGCGGACCUCAUAAAGUAUGUCGUAGUCCGGAUUGGAGUCUGCAACUCGACUCCAUGAAGUCGGAAUCGCUAGUAAUCGUAGAUCAGAAUGCUACGGUGAAUACGUUCCCGGGCCUUGUACACACCGCCCGUCACACCAUGGGAGUGGGUUGCAAAAGAAGUAGGUAGCUUAACCUUCGGGAGGGCGCUUACCACUUUGUGAUUCAUGACUGGGGUGAAGUCGUAACAAGGUAACCGUAGGGGAACCUGCGGUUGGAUCACCUCCUUACCUUAAAGAA